RNAcentral lists this ribosomal RNA (1494 nucleotides) under uncultured bacterium. RNAcentral's name for it is "bacterial SSU rRNA". It matches the Rfam family "Bacterial small subunit ribosomal RNA". The record is from RNAcentral.
UCCUGGCUCAGAUUGAACGCUAGCGGGAUGCUUUACACAUGCAAGUCGAACGGCAGCACGAGAGAGCUUGCUCUCUUGGUGGCGAGUGGCGGACGGGUGAGUAAUAUAUCGGAACGUGCCUAGUAGCGGGGGAUAACUACUCGAAAGAGUGGCUAAUACCGCAUACGCCCUACGGGGGAAAGGGGGGGAUCGCAAGACCUCUCACUAUUAGAGCGGCCGAUAUCGGAUUAGCUAGUUGGUGGGGUAAAGGCUCACCAAGGCAACGAUCCGUAGCUGGUUUGAGAGGACGACCAGCCACACUGGGACUGAGACACGGCCCAGACUCCUACGGGAGGCAGCAGUGGGGAAUUUUGGACAAUGGGGGAAACCCUGAUCCAGCCAUCCCGCGUGUAUGAUGAAGGCCUUCGGGUUGUAAAGUACUUUUGGCAGAGAAGAAAAGGUACCUCCUAAUACGAGGUACUGCUGACGGUAUCUGCAGAAUAAGCACCGGCUAACUACGUGCCAGCAGCCGCGGUAAUACGUAGGGUGCAAGCGUUAAUCGGAAUUACUGGGCGUAAAGCGUGUGUAGGCGGUUCGGAAAGAAAGAUGUGAAAUCCCAGGGCUUAACCUUGGAACUGCAUUUUUAACUGCCGAGCUAGAGUAUGUCAGAGGGGGGUAGAAUUCCACGUGUAGCAGUGAAAUGCGUAGAUAUGUGGAGGAAUACCGAUGGCGAAGGCAGCCCCCUGGGAUAAUACUGACGCUCAGACACGAAAGCAUGGGGAGCAAACAGGAUUAGAUACCCUGGUAGUCCACGCCCUAAACGAUGUCAACUAGCUGUUGGGGCCGUUAGGCCUUAGUAGCGCAGCUAACGCGUGAAGUUGACCGCCUGGGGAGUACGGUCGCAAGAUUAAAACUCAAAGGAAUUGACGGGGACCCGCACAAGCGGUGGAUGAUGUGGAUUAAUUCGAUGCAACGCGAAAAACCUUACCUACCCUUGACAUGUCUGGAAUCCCGAAGAGAUUUGGGAGUGCUCGCAAGAGAACCGGAACACAGGUGCUGCAUGGCUGACGUCAGCUCGUGUCGUGAGAUGUUGGGUUAAGUCCCGCAACGAGCGCAACCCUUGUCAUUAGUUGCUACGCAAGAGCACUCUAAUGAGACUGCCGGUGACAAACCGGAGGAAGGUGGGGAUGACGUCAAGUCCUCAUGGCCCUUAUGGGUAGGGCUUCACACGUCAUAGAAUGGUCGGGACAGAGGGUCGCCAACCCGCGAGGGGGAGCCAAUCUCAGAAACCCGAUCGUAGUCCGGAUCGCAGUCUGCAACUCGACUGCGUGAAGUCGGAAUCGCUAGUAAUCGCGGAUCAGAAUGUCGCGGUGAAUACGUUCCCGGGUCUUGUACACACCGCCCGUCACACCAUGGGAGUGGGUUUCACCAGAAGUAGGUAGCCUAACCGUAAGGAGGGCGCUUACCACGGUGGGAUUCAUGACUGGGGUGAAGUCGUAACAAGGUAGCCGUAAA